Molecule: ribosomal RNA, 254 nt
Filed under: uncultured bacterium
Lineage: Bacteria
Description: partial 16S ribosomal RNA
Rfam family: Bacterial small subunit ribosomal RNA
Source: RNAcentral
UACGUAGGUGGCAAGCGUUGUCCGGAUUUACUGGGCGUAAAGGGCGCGUAGGCGGCCUUGCAAGUCGGUUGGUGAAAGCCCGGGGCUCAACCCCGGAGGUGCGGCCGAGACUGCAGGGCUGGAGGCCGGAAGAGGAGGGUGGAAUACCCAGUGUAGAGGUGAAAUUCGUAGAUAUUGGGUGGAACACCGGUGGCGAAAGCGGCUCUCUGGUCCGGACCUGACGCUGAGGCGCGAAAGCGUGGGGAGCAAACAGG